GUGGACUCAGCGCUGGAAGCCGGAGGAGGAGGCGGAGGAAAAGUUCCCGUGACAGCACAAUGGACUGCGGGCGCGCGCACCAGCUCUCCAGCACCCGCCGCUCGGUGCGGCCGGAGGGGUGACUCCUUUUGCCCUGGGGGAUCCCCUCGCCGCUCCGCGCCUGGGGACCUCGGGUUGGAACUGUAGGCGUCGCCGAGACCCGGCGGUAGCCGGAGGAAGGGAGGAAAGAGAAGCUCUAAUCCCCAGCGUCUGUUCGCUUCCACAAAUAGAACCUUCUGUUGGAUGAAAUAAAAGCAAACACUAGGCCUUCUGCUCUCCUCCACCUCCACGCCCCUCCCGCGCCUGCCGCCCGCCCGGAUUGCACGGAAAUAGCUUCUCCCGGCUCCCCGGCCGCCCCUUCGCGGUGACUCGCAGAAAGAGCUUCCUGAGCCGCGGCCGGUGGGAAACAAAGGAUGUGGGGAGAGAGCGGAAGGGGCCCACGUGGCCGUCGCCGAAUUCCUGUUCCCUCCCCGUGCCUCCUCCGCAGCCUCCACACGCGCAGCAGGGUCUAGAGCCCCGGGGCUAACCCGGUUCCUUGGUGACCGGAUAGAUAGUGAUACUGCCUACACCCAGGCAGUCCUGCCAGGGCGUGUGCACGCACUCGUGCAACCUGAUUUGGGUGAGCGCGAGAUGUGUCAGACCCUGCACAGAGCUCCAUGAAAAAACAACCUAGACGCUGUCGUUUUUCUUUCGGGAACCAGGUCAAUUCGGAGUCCCUGGACACCGAACAUAGAUAACUGUUAUCAGAGUCCCUUCUGUACUUCUGCUAAAUGCUUCAUUUUCUAAAACCAGAUCGAGCCCCAAGGAUAAAUCCUUUUCCAUAUUAAGUCUCCCUUCAUUCAGCCAGCACUAAUGAAGCAUCUCCUAAACUAGAUGCUGAGGAUUAGGAAGAUGAAAAUUAACAAUAGCUAACAUUAAUUGAACUCUGUAACGUGGCAGGCGCUGUUAGCGCUUGACACACUGACGUUUCACAACUACCCAGUGGAGUUCUUUUUUGUCCCUUUUCACAGAGAAGCCUGCAAAGAUUAAGUUACUGGCUGUGGUCAAAGACGCUACUGAAUGCAUUCAAGCUCUUAAAGCACUUGUGGGGACUCAAGGUAGAGAUUACAAUUUGUAGAGUUAGGUAGGAUUCCAUCUAGAAAGCAUUUGACCUGGG
Bos taurus (domestic cattle) is the source of this 1195-nucleotide long non-coding RNA. NCBI's taxonomy places the organism in Eukaryota, Metazoa, Chordata, Mammalia, Artiodactyla, Bovidae. The record is from Ensembl.